This is a long non-coding RNA of Amborella trichopoda, 811 nucleotides long. RefSeq lists it as uncharacterized. The record is from RefSeq and is a predicted model, not a curated record. NCBI's taxonomy places the organism in Eukaryota, Viridiplantae, Streptophyta, Magnoliopsida, Amborellales, Amborellaceae.
UUUAAAUAAUUUAAAAAUUAACGGUCCAAAAAAUAAAUUACAAGAUACGUUAUUUUCAAAACUUGAAAUCAAAUCCAUACAUAUUGACAUGAACCUCUUCUACCGAAAUUUUGGAGUUAGAUUCCCAUCGAAAGGGUCCAUAGAAAUAUUUGACAUAAAUUUCAAUAACUUUCAGGAAGUGAGUUAGUUUUCGAGGAAGCUGCAUCUGAGAAGACGCAGUGGGUUUUAUAGAAAAGGCUUUAAAGAUCCUUUUUCCUAGUAUCCGGUCACCCUAUUAUGGUCGGCCACGUAUACAGCAGCGCAGCGAAAGUGACGGCCACUUGUCUGAAAACCGGACCGGGAUACCGCCUCCCACUUUGUGGUUUCGCUCGUCUUAUCUGGGGAUCUGGAAUGUUUGAUUGAUAGAGACUGCUGAAUUAGUAUCUGGUUCGUCGUUAUGGCCGAUGUGUGGCUCACGAUGUAGCUUGGACAGUGGUCGGUAAGAUUCUGGAGAGGCCCUUGGAUCUAAGAUCUGGACCGUCAAUUGGGAUGUUGCGACACGUGUCCUGUUGAAAAUAAUGGACUUUGACGAUCUGAGUGGUGGGUGGGCCCAGGUAUGGAAGGCGGCGUCGUUUUCGGUAGUUGAGAGUUUGUUUUCUUGAUUUGGUGUAGAGGUUGGGUGGACGGUGAGAGAGACGUGUGCCACGCCAAUAAUACAAGAACGUUUUGAGUUUCGGCAAGUUUUCGGUGUAUAUGGUUUCGAAAGUUUUAAAGUUUCGGAUGAAUCAUACUUUUUUAUUGAAUUUCGGUGAGGUUUUCACCGUCGGUUAGA